GCAAUACUUAGUGGCAGACGGGUGAGUAACAUGUGGGUAUCUGCCCUUUGGCCUGGAAUAACACGAGGAAACUUGUGCUAAUACCGGAUAAGUCUUUACGGAGAAAGCUUUAUGCACCAUUGGAUGAGCCCGCACUUGAUUAGUUUGUUGGUGGGGUAAUGGCCUACCAAGACUUUGAUCAAUAGCUGAUUUGAGAGGAUGAUCAGCCACAUUGGGACUGAGACACGGCCCAAACUCCUACGGGAGGCAGCAGUGGGGAAUCUUGCACAAUGGAGGAAACUCUGAUGCAGCGAUGCCGCGUGAGUGAAGAAGGCCUUUGGGUUGUAAAGCUCUUUCGUCGGGGAAGAAAAUGACUGUACCCGAAUAAGAAGGUCCGGCUAACUUCGUGCCAGCAGCCGCGGUAAUACGAAGGGACCUAGCGUAGUUCGGAAUUACUGGGCUUAAAGAGUUCGUAGGUGGUUGAAAAAGUUGGUGGUGAAAUCCCAGAGCUUAACUCUGGAACUGCCAUCAAAACUUUUCAGCUAGAGUAUGAUAGAGGAAAGCAGAAUUUCUAGUGUAGAGGUGAAAUUCGUAGAUAUUAGAAAGAACACCAAAUGCGAAGGCAACUUACUGGGUCACUACUGACACUGAGGAGCGAAAGCAUGGGUAG
This 649-nucleotide ribosomal RNA is filed under the name uncultured marine bacterium. RNAcentral's name for it is "bacterial SSU rRNA". It matches the Rfam family "Bacterial small subunit ribosomal RNA", at positions 85 to 768 of the family's 1533-position model. The record is from RNAcentral.